GACUGGUCCGAAGUUAGUGAGUUAUCUCGAUUGUUCACAGUUACAGAUCAAACUCCUUGUUCUACUCUAUCCCCUUCUCACUUAUGCACUUGACUAGUGUAAA
This 103-nucleotide Y RNA is filed under the name Colobus angolensis palliatus. RNAcentral describes it as "Y RNA (ENSCANG00000011737.1)". It matches the Rfam family "Y RNA". Rfam says of the family: Y RNAs are components of the Ro ribonucleoprotein particle (Ro RNP), in association with Ro60 and La proteins. The Y RNAs and Ro60 and La proteins are well conserved, but the function of the Ro RNP is not known. In humans the RNA component can be one of four small RNAs -- hY1, hY3, hY4 and hY5. Lineage: Eukaryota; Metazoa; Chordata; Mammalia; Primates; Cercopithecidae. The record is from Rfam by way of RNAcentral.